Molecule: ribosomal RNA, 253 nt
Filed under: uncultured bacterium
Lineage: Bacteria
Description: partial 16S ribosomal RNA
Rfam family: Bacterial small subunit ribosomal RNA
Source: RNAcentral
UACGUAGGUGGCAAGCGUUGUCCGGAAUUAUUGGGCGUAAAGCGCGCGCAGGCGGUCCUUUAAGUCUGAUGUGAAAGCCCUCGGCUCAACCGGGGAAGUGCACCCGAAACUGCAAAGCUAGAGUCUCGGAGAGGAUCGUGGAAUUCUCGGUGUAGAGGUGAAAUUCGUAGAUAUCGAGAGGAACACCGGUGGCGAAGGCGGCGACCUGGACGAUGACUGACGCUGAGGAGCGAAAGCCAGGGGAGCAAACGGG